GGCGAACGGGUGAGUAACACGUGAGUAAUCUGCCCUGGCGCUCUGGGAUAGCCCACCGGAAACGGUGAUUAAUACCGGAUAGGACCACUUCACGCAUGUGAUGGUGGUGGAAAGUUUUUUCGGCGCAGGAUGUGCUCGCGGCCUAUCAGCUUGUUGGUGAGGUAACGGCUCACCAAGGCUUUGACGGGUAACCGGCCUGAGAGGGUGACCGGUCACACUGGGACUGAGACACGGCCCAGACUCCUACGGGAGGCAGCAGUGGGGAAUAUUGGACAAUGGGCGGAAGCCUGAUCCAGCAACGCCGCGUGAGGGAUGACGGCCUUCGGGUUGUAAACCUCUUUCAGUACCGACGAAGCGCAAGUGACGGUAGGUACAGAAGAAGGACCGGCCAACUACGUGCCAGCAGCCGCGGUAAUACGUAGGGUCCGAGCGUUGUCCGGAAUUAUUGGGCGUAAAGGGCUCGUAGGCGGUUUGUCGCGUCGGGAGUGAAACACCGGGCUUAACUCGGUGCUUGCUUUCGAUACGGGCAGACUAGAGGUAUGCAGGGGAGAAUGGAAUUCCUGGUGUAGCGGUGAAAUGCGCAGAUAUCAGGAGGACACCGAUGGCGAAGGCGGUUCUCUGGGCAUUACCUGA
RNAcentral lists this ribosomal RNA (633 nucleotides) under uncultured Actinomycetes bacterium. Its description in RNAcentral is "bacterial SSU rRNA". It matches the Rfam family "Bacterial small subunit ribosomal RNA", at positions 97 to 743 of the family's 1533-position model. The record is from RNAcentral. Lineage: Bacteria; Bacillati; Actinomycetota; Actinomycetes.